Molecule: unclassified non-coding RNA, 353 nt
Filed under: soil metagenome
Description: partial contains 5.8S ribosomal RNA, internal transcribed spacer 2, and large subunit ribosomal RNA
Rfam family: 5.8S ribosomal RNA (bases 1-120)
Source: RNAcentral
GAUGAAGAACGCAGCGAAAUGCGAUAAGUAAUGUGAAUUGCAGAAUUCAGUGAAUCAUCGAAUCUUUGAACGCACAUUGCGCCCGCCAGUAUUCUGGCGGGCAUGCCUGUUCGAGCGUCAUUACAAACCUCAGGCCCCCGGGCCUGGCGUUGGGGAUCGGCGGAAGCCCCCUGCGGGCACAACGCCGUCCCCCAAAUACAGUGGCGGUCCCGCCGCAGCUUCCAUUGCGUAGUAGCUAACACCUCGCAACUGGAGAGCGGCGCGGCCACGCCGUAAAACACCCAACUUCUGAAUGUUGACCUCGAAUCAGGUAGGAAUACCCGCUGAACUUAAGCAUAUCAAUAAGCGGAGGA